CGAACGCUGGCGGCAGGCCUAACACAUGCAAGUCGAGCGCACCCUUCGGGGCGAGCGGCGGACGGGUUAGUAACGCGUGGGAACGUACCCUUGUCUACGGAAUAGCCUUUGGAAACGAAGAGUAAUACCGUAUACGCCCUUCGGGGGAAAGAUUUAUCGGACAAGGAUCGGCCCGCGUUAGAUUAGAUAGUUGGUGGGGUAAUGGCCUACCAAGUCUACGAUCUAUAGCUGGUUUUAGAGGAUGAUCAGCAACACUGGGACUGAGACACGGCCCAGACUCCUACGGGAGGCAGCAGUGGGGAAUCUUAGACAAUGGGCGCAAGCCUGAUCUAGCCAUGCCGCGUGUGUGAUGAAGGCCCUAGGGUCGUAAAGCACUUUCGCUAGGGAUGAUAAUGACAGUACCUAGUAAAGAAACCCCGGCUAACUCC
Molecule: ribosomal RNA, 428 nt
Filed under: uncultured bacterium
Lineage: Bacteria
Description: bacterial SSU rRNA
Rfam family: Bacterial small subunit ribosomal RNA
Source: RNAcentral